CCUACGGGAGGCAGCAGUGGGGAAUAUUGCACAAUGGGGGGAACCCUGAUGCAGCGACGCCGCGGGAGUGAAGAAGUAAUUCGGUAUGUAAAGCUCUAUCAGCAGGGAAGAAAAUGACGGUACGUGAGUAAGAAGCCCCGGCUAACUACGUGCCAGCAGCCGCGGUAAUACGUAGGGGGCAAGCGUUAUCCGGAGUUACUGGGUGUAAAGGGAGCGUAGACGGCAGAGCAAGUCUGAAGUGAAAGGCGGGGGCACAACCACCGGACUGCAUUGGAAACUGUACGGCUGGAGUGCAGGAGAGGUAAGUGGAAUUCCUAGUGUAGCGGUGAAAUGCGUAGAUAUUAGGAGGAACACCAGUGGCGAAGGCGGCUUACUGGACUGUAACUGACGUUGAGGCUCGAAAGCGUGGGGAGCAAACAGGAUUAGAUACCCCAGUAGUC
Molecule: ribosomal RNA, 440 nt
Filed under: uncultured bacterium
Lineage: Bacteria
Description: partial 16S ribosomal RNA
Rfam family: Bacterial small subunit ribosomal RNA
Source: RNAcentral